Cyprinus carpio carpio is the source of this 630-nucleotide long non-coding RNA. Lineage: Eukaryota; Metazoa; Chordata; Actinopteri; Cypriniformes; Cyprinidae. The record is from Ensembl.
AUAUAAGCUGUUUUUAGACUAACAAGAAGGUUUUGGGAUCUGAAACUUACAGGAUGUUUUUAUAAGGGACGUCACAUUUCAAAGUUUGUGCUUAGUACCUCACUAAGACACGUUAACCCAUCGACAGCUGUGCGAAAUCAUCAUAAUUCGCACUGAAACGGCAGUUUUCUGAUGGGGGACAGUCCCACAGGAGGGUUAGAAAAGCGUUUAACGUCACAGAUGAUCGUACGAACCCUCAGAGCCCAGCUUAGGGUUUUUAAUAUACCUGCUGAAAGAUGUUACAUCCAGAAGAGAAACCUGAGAGAGAAAAUAAGGUUGUAAGAGUUUCCUCAACACUGCAUUCCCGCGUUGCAUGCUGGUUCUGUUAAAAUGCCCCCCUCAGUUAAACCACAGGGAGAAAGAAAAUGUCCUCUCUGACGCUCUGCCACAGCUGUUGCCUUUUAAAACACUCAUUGUGCAAGAGGAUAUACAACAAUUGAAACACAUCCAAUGAUAACAUGCUGGAAAAGUAGUUUAAUGCUGUGGGCACAUCUACUGUCAGGGGGAGAUUUAUCUGAAGGCCAAUGCUAAUAUGGCUGUGUUGCGUUAAGUAAUGCCCUGUUUAACUGUUAAUAAAUAUAUACUGUCUGC